Molecule: ribosomal RNA, 1445 nt
Filed under: uncultured Bordetella sp.
Lineage: Bacteria; Pseudomonadati; Pseudomonadota; Betaproteobacteria; Burkholderiales; Alcaligenaceae
Description: partial 16S-23S ribosomal RNA intergenic spacer
Rfam family: Bacterial small subunit ribosomal RNA
Source: RNAcentral
GGUUCGAUUAUGGCUCAGAUUGAACGCUGGCGGACCGCCCACACAUGCAAGUCGGGCGACAGCACGGACUUCAGUCUGGUGGCGGUGGCGAACGGGUGAGUAUUGUGAACUGUUGCCUGGUGGCGGGGGAUAACUACGCGCAGCGUGACUAAUACCUUACGCCCUUCCAGGAAAGCAGGGACCUUCCGGGCCUCGCACUAUUAAGAGCGGCCGAUAUCGGUUGACUAGUUGGUGGAAGUAACGGCUCGCCAAGGCGACGAUCCGUAGCUGGUUUGCGAGAGACGACCAGCCACUGGGACUGAGACACGGCCCAGACUCCUGCAAGGGGAGGAGAGCAGCAGUGGGGAAUUUUGGACAAUGGGGAGCACAGUCAGCCAUCCCGCGUGUGCGAUGAAGGCCUUCGGGUUAUGCUUACUUUUGGCAGGAAAGAAACGGCGCGGGAUGUGCACGGCGGUGCCUGCAGAAUAAGCACCGGCUAACUACGUGCCAGCAGCCGCGGUAAUACGUAGGGUGCAAGCGUUAAUCGGAAUUACUGGGCGUAAAGCGUGCGCGAGCGGUUCGGAAAGAAGAUGUGAAAUCCCAGAACGCUUUGGAACUGCACAUUUUUAACUGCAAGCUGAAGUGUGUCAGAGAGGGAGGUGAAUUCCCGCGUGUAGCAGUGAAAUGCGUAGAUAUGCGGAAGACACCGAUGGCAAAGGCAGCCUCCUGGGAUAACACUGACGCUCAUGCACGAAAGCGUGAAGCAAACAGGAUUAGAUACCUGGUAGUCCACGCCCUAAACAGUGUCCAACUAGCUGUUGGGGCCUUGGGGCCUUGGUAAUGCCAGCUAACGCGUGGUUGACCGCCUGGGAAAUACGGUCGCAAGAUUAAAACUCAAGGAAUUGACGGGGACCCACAAGCGGUGGAUGUGGAUUAAAUUCGAUGCAACGCAGCUCCUUACCUACCCUUGACAUGUCUGGAAUCCGAGGUCGGGAGUGCUCGCAAGAGAACCGGAACACAGGUGCUGCAUGGCUGUCGUCAGCUCGUGUCGUGAGAUGUUGGGUUAAGUCGCAACGAGCGCAACCCUUGUCAUUGGUGCUACGAAGAGGCACUCUAAUGAGACUGCCGGUGACAAACCGGAGGAAGGUGGGGAUGACGUCAGGGCCUCAUGGCCUGCGGGUAGGGCUUCACACACGUCAUACAAUGGUCGGGACAGAGGGUCGCCAACCGCGAGGGGGAGCCAAUCCCAGAAGCCCAGUCAUGUCCGGAUCGCAGUGCGCAACUCGACUGCGUGAAGUCGGAAUCGCUAGUAAUCGCGGAUCAAUGUCGCGGUGAAUACGUUCCGGAAUGUGCACACACCGCCCGUCACACCAUGGGAGUGGGUUUGCCGAAGUAGUUAGCCUAACCCGUAAGGAGGGCGAUUACCACAGUAGGAUUCAUGACUGGGGUGAAGUCGUAAUAAGUAA